GCUGGCGUGGUCGAAUGGUUACGCUGUCCGCUUUGUAAGCGGAUGAUCAUUGGUUCGAUUCCCAACUGCUCCAGCC
RNAcentral lists this transfer RNA (76 nucleotides) under Culex quinquefasciatus (southern house mosquito). RNAcentral describes it as "tRNA-Thr". It matches the Rfam family "tRNA". From Rfam's summary of the family: Transfer RNA (tRNA) molecules are approximately 80 nucleotides in length. Their secondary structure includes four short double-helical elements and three loops (D, anti-codon, and T loops). The record is from RNAcentral. Lineage: Eukaryota; Metazoa; Arthropoda; Insecta; Diptera; Culicidae.